RNAcentral lists this ribosomal RNA (378 nucleotides) under uncultured eukaryote. RNAcentral describes it as "partial 18S ribosomal RNA". It matches the Rfam family "Eukaryotic small subunit ribosomal RNA", at positions 592 to 976 of the family's 1831-position model. The record is from RNAcentral.
CAAUAGCGUAUAUUAAAGUUGUUGCGGUUAAAAAGCUCGUAGUUGGAUUUCUGGCUUGGACGACCGGUCCGUGCUAUGCAUGAGUAUCUGGUUCGGCCUAGCCAUCUUGCUAGAGAACGCGUGCGUACUUCAUUGUAUGUCGUGGCAUCUAGCCUUUUACUUUGAGGAAAUGAGAGUGUUCCAAGCAGGCAUCCGCCUUGAAUACGUUAGCAUGGAAUAAUAAGAUAGGAUUACGGUCCGUUUUUAUUGGUUUAGCGGCCGUGAUAAUGAUUAAUAGGAACAGUCGGGGGCAUUUGUAUUUAACUGUCAGAGGUGAAAUUCUUGGAUUUGUUAAAGACAAACUACUGCGAAAGCAUUUGCCAAGGAUGUUUUCAUUGA